CCUACGGGAGGCAGCAGUGGGGAAUUUUGGACAAUGGGCGAAAGCCUGAUCCAGCAAUGCCGCGUGAGUGAAGAAGGCCUUCGGGUUGUAAAGCUCUUUUGUCAGGGAAGAAACGGUGUGGGCUAAUAUCCCGCACUAAUGACGGUACCUGAAGAAUAAGCACCGGCUAACUACGUGCCAGCAGCCGCGGUAAUACGUAGGGUGCAAGCGUUAAUCGGAAUUACUGGGCGUAAAGCGUGCGCAGGCGGUUUUAGAAGUUUGUCGUGAAAGCCCCGGGCUCAACCUGGGAAUUGCGAUGAAGACUGCAAGGCUUGAAUCUGGCAGAGGGGGGUAGAAUUCCACGUGUAGCAGUGAAAUGCGUAGAGAUGUGGAGGAACACCGAUGGCGAAGGCAGCCCCCUGGGUCAAGAUUGACGCUCAUGCACGAAAGCGUGGGGAGCAAACAGGAUUAGAUACCCUGGUAGUCCACGCCCUAAACGAUGUCUACUAGUUGUCGGGUUUUAAUAACUUGGUAACGCAGCUAACGCGUGAAGUAGACCGCCUGGGGAUACGGUCGCAAGAUUAAAACCUCAAAGGAAUUGACGG
Molecule: ribosomal RNA, 584 nt
Filed under: uncultured bacterium
Lineage: Bacteria
Description: bacterial SSU rRNA
Rfam family: Bacterial small subunit ribosomal RNA
Source: RNAcentral